CGGACCGUAAAGGUUUGCCAGAGCAAAUCUCCAGGGGAACUGUUUCCUUGGUUACCACAGCCAACAGGAAGAGCAUUUCAUUUCUGAUUAGGUAUCCUGUCAAGAUGCCGAGGACGCUUUCAUAAAUACUUGUUAGGAAAUUUAACCAGAAGGGAUUAAGUAUCCCAAGUGAAUCCCUUUUGAGUCAAUGUUUUUUCUUCAAAUUAAGAAACUGUGCAAACAGUGAACCCCCGAAAGGCCGGUGUUUUGCUCAUGGACACUUCAAGAGCAUAUAAGCUUAUGCACACACGCAUUCCAACCUACGUCUGUUUUCCUGUCAUUUGUUUCUUGACGUCCACCCAAGCAGCUCUCCGAAGAACAAGCACGCGACAUUCCAGGUUAUGGCCUCAGCUCACCAGUCUCCUCUGGGACGUAGUCAUGAGGAACCAGUUUGCUAUGCGAGUCCCCUCCAUGCAGCGUCCCAGACUCGAUCUCAUCGCCGCGCUGAAGGACCGAUGCGUCUUCAUCCCACCGCUCCCGCUAUAUGUGACGGCUGCCUGGACCAGGCAACACCAUUUAUACUAUGAAACAUUCAUCCUCUGCUCGUUAUGAAAGAUAUUUGACAGAUUCCACCGUACACUUGUGAUGGUAUUUACUGAAUGCGUUCAGCGCAGGCCCGGUCUCCGUGGCAACAGGACGUAGCUGGGAGACACAGGAAGCUCUGGGUAGACCUGUGUGUGUGUGUGUGUUUUUUAAAUCUAAUUCCAUCUGGAAAAGCAUGCAUGCGCACAGUUCUCCAUGGCUCUGCUUCAAGGACACGACUCAUAAUACCCAAUGUCACACUGACAGUUAACACCUACACAUGAAUGCAAAGCGGCAUCGGAAAUAUGUUCAAAAUAGGAACAUUUGCACGCAUAGAUAGAAGCGUACGGCAUGAAGCUCUUCAUGGCAGGUAUAUUCAUAUAUGCAUGGUCACGUUAAAUAAAGUAGCAGUAACACCGAACUGGAAUAGCACAGUGUCUUAUGUAAUA
Long non-coding RNA from Pseudoliparis swirei, 1010 nucleotides. RefSeq lists it as uncharacterized. NCBI's taxonomy places the organism in Eukaryota, Metazoa, Chordata, Actinopteri, Perciformes, Liparidae. The record is from RefSeq and is a predicted model, not a curated record. The transcript is spliced from 3 exons.